RNAcentral lists this unclassified non-coding RNA (151 nucleotides) under plant metagenome. RNAcentral describes it as "partial contains small subunit ribosomal RNA and internal transcribed spacer 1". The stretch from base 1 to 46 matches the Rfam family "Eukaryotic small subunit ribosomal RNA", at positions 1786 to 1831 of the family's 1831-position model. The record is from RNAcentral.
AAGUCGUAACAAGGUUUCCGUAGGUGAACCUGCGGAAGGAUCAUUAUUGAUUGGCUUCGGCCUUUUUCUAUAUACACACCUGUGCACCAUGGCGUUCGCGCCUAUUUUACAAACAACAGUGUACGAGCGUGUCUUAUUUUAACAAAAUAAA